Molecule: non-coding RNA, 2041 nt
Organism: Cricetulus griseus (Chinese hamster)
Lineage: Eukaryota; Metazoa; Chordata; Mammalia; Rodentia; Cricetidae
Source: RefSeq, a predicted model, not a curated record
UAAUAGAAGUCUCUGUGUAUUAUUUGGGGCCCUAACUCGGCAGGCAGAACUCCGGCGGCUGGCAGAAAGCGCCCAUGUGGUGGUAGGACUCUGGUGGCUUUUGGCGGAAAGAUUUAUCGUAACAGAGGCUCUUGUCUCCCUCACUGGAAUUUAAAAGAGGCCAGAAGAAGGCAUUGGGUCCCAGGAACUGGAAUUACAGAUGGUGCGAGCUGCUGUUGCUGUGUAGGUGCUGGGGCUCGAACCCUGGUCCUCUUUAAAGAAUCUGGCAGAGUGAAGUGGAAUGGGCCAAGGCUGUACACCCCCGAUGCCUGCUCUCAAUGACAUGCUUCCUCCAGCAAGGCUAACACUGUUUCGGUCUUACCAGUGUUUUCUGGACCUUCCUGUCCAGCUGAAUUGCUCAGAACAAGCAAAUAGUUAGGUCGGAGCCACAUUCCAGGCCAUUUAAGUCAGAAUCUCCAGGGGCUGGGUCCUGCCUGGCCUGGGAAGAGAAACUUCCCUGACUAUUCUGAUGUGCUGAGAGAGAAGCAAGCUGAAUCCAACCCACGGAGGUAUCUCAAGGCCUGUGUGAAUGGAGAAAAGCGGAAACUCUCAGUAUGACUCAGCUGCAGCAGGCUUUGGGAGUGGACAUCAAAUGAUAACUACAAAAAAGCAAGAAACAAGCACAAAAGCCUAUCAGGAAACCCCCCAAAGAAGUGAAGUCUUGGGGGCUGGUGAGAUGUCUCAGCAGAUACCCAGGGUCAGUGGCUAUUUUUAGCCAUUGUUCUCCCCAGUGGGGUUAUCCUCAGAGAAUCCUUACUGCCCGGGCUCCCCUUUCAUAAGUUUCUCCGGGGUAUCUGCAUCUCCUCCCCCUGCCUCCCCCUUUCAGUUUGAGGAGAACAGUCCAUCGUCAUAUGACAACAGGAACAUGAGGCAACUGGUGACAGUGGCCUCCGCCCCUGCCCCAUGGCCUCCACUCCUGGCUGUGACCGGCAGACAGAGCUUUAUAGAAAGGUCUCAUGGAAGCAGAUGCUGAAUGCUCAGCCCGCAUCCCCUCAAGACCGGAGAGGUUCCAAAUACGGAAAUACAAGUCUUCCAGGGAGAGCUGAUCUUCUAAGCUGACUUUCUAGAAAUGGGAAGAAUUUACUCCGUUUGUCACUCACCUCAAGGCAUGCCAUUUACCUUCUAAACUGAGAAGUGGCACCCUGGUGCAGUGAUCUUAGGUGACAUUUCUGGACAUUCAGAACUAAAUACGAAGCCAAAGAUAACAGUCCCAGUGGCUGGGAGCCUAUGGUCCCUCUUCUGCUGCCACACAGAACUACAGUUUUGGAUGAGAUUUUCCUGUUGGAUUUCAGUCAGGCCUUGCCAAUGUGAGGCACUUUUAGAAGGGCAGAAGGAACCUAAGGUGUGUCCAGAUGGACUGUUCUCGGCCAUGAGUACUGAGAGGAGGGAUGCAGUGUUCUUCUGAGUCCACGGUGUCAACCUGCCAUGUCUCUGGUGCCUCGUCUCCUUUGUUUUCCUUUCUGCAAACACACAAAGCAGACCAGUAGAAUUAAAGACACAGAGGCCAGCAGUAAACAGAGUCAAGGAGGUUCACAUCAGAGAUCAGAAGAUGUGGCUUCCGUUCACGGUGUUUGCAGACUUAGUGCGAGAUCCUGUCUGAAAAACAAGGUGGAUGACUUCUGAGAAAGGAUGACUUGCCUUCCAAGCGGCUGAAUUCAUGGCAGAAGAAACAUCCAGGGAGCACCUGCAGUUUGCAAGACACCUGGACAGAGCACAGACUCCCCCAGGCCUCUCUGAGCCUUGGCACUGACUGCAGAGUAAGACUCAGGGAGAGAUUCGUGCAAGUACUAAAGACCAGUUCUGACAGACGUUGCCUUAGUGGCCUUCUUUCAGCCAGGAAUUGCCUGUUUGCUGUUUGAGUCCCAGAGCGGCCCUUGCUCACUAGGGCUUCUCAUUCUCCCUUCCUGAGGGUAUUUUCUGUGUGGCUUAGAAUAAAGAUUGGACUAUGUAGAUGUUACCAUGGCAACUGGUGUUUUAAAUAAAAAUAGUGCUACACCCCCGG